This 793-nucleotide ribosomal RNA is filed under the name uncultured bacterium. Its description in RNAcentral is "bacterial SSU rRNA". It matches the Rfam family "Bacterial small subunit ribosomal RNA", at positions 8 to 810 of the family's 1533-position model. The record is from RNAcentral.
AGAGUUUGAUCAUGGCUCAGGACGAACGCUGGCGGCGUGCUUAACACAUGCAAGUCGAGCGAGGUCCACGCAGUGGCAACACUGUUGAAGACCUAGCGGCGAACGGGUGAGUAACACGUGAGCAACCUGCCCCGAAGGCUGGGAUAACACCGGGAAACCGGUGCUAAUACCGGAUGCCUUCCUCUGGUCGCAUGGCCUAGGGAAGAAAUGAAUUUUGCUUCGGGAGGGGCUCGCGGGCUAUCAGCUUGUUGGUGAGGUAACGACUCACCAAGGCGACGACGGCUAGCUGGUCUGAGAGGACGACCAGCCACACUGGGACUGAGACACGGCCCAGACUCCUACGGGAGGCAGCAGUGGGGAAUCUCGCGCAAUGGGCGUAAGCCUGACGCAGCAACGCCGCGUGGGGGAUGAAUGCCUUCGGGUUGUAAACCCCUUUCAGCAGGGACGAAAAUGACGGUACCUGCAGAAGAAGCCCCGGCCAACUACGUGCCAGCAGCCGCGGUAAUACGUAGGGGGCGAGCGUUGUCCGGAUUUAUUGGGCGUAAAGAGCUCGUAGGCGGCUUGGCAAGUCGGGUGUGAAACCUCCAGGCUCAACCUGGAGACGCCACUCGAGACUGCUAUGGCUAGAGUCCGGUAGGGGACCACGGAAUUCCUGGUGUAGCGGUGAAAUGCGCAGAUAUCAGGAGGAACACCGGUGGCGAAGGCGGUGGUCUGGGCCGGCACUGACGCUGAGGAGCGAAAGCGUGGGUAGCAAACAGGAUUAGAUACCCUGGUAGUCCACGCCGUAAACGUU